Non-coding RNA from Glycine max (soybean), 67 nucleotides. Lineage: Eukaryota; Viridiplantae; Streptophyta; Magnoliopsida; Fabales; Fabaceae. The record is from Rfam.
GAUUUAUUAGUUAAGUUGGUUAGAACGUCAUCUUGAUAACUUAAAGAUUCGAAUCCUAUAUGAAUCA